GGAGAGAUGGCUGAGUGGUUGAUAGCCCCGGUCUUGAAAA
Molecule: transfer RNA, 40 nt
Filed under: Anathallis aquinoi
Lineage: Eukaryota; Viridiplantae; Streptophyta; Magnoliopsida; Asparagales; Orchidaceae
Description: partial tRNA-Ser
Source: RNAcentral